Doryrhamphus excisus (bluestripe pipefish) is the source of this 1468-nucleotide long non-coding RNA. RefSeq lists it as uncharacterized. The record is from RefSeq and is a predicted model, not a curated record. NCBI's taxonomy places the organism in Eukaryota, Metazoa, Chordata, Actinopteri, Syngnathiformes, Syngnathidae.
UGCUAGCGCCGUGUUGAAUACACUUGGUUCCUAGGCCGUGUUACAAAGAGCCACAGGAAAUAAAACAAAGAAAUGGAAACGAUCGGUUGGAGAUAAGGAUAAACAAAAGAAACUAUUUGGAAGGUGACGCAGGCAAUGAUGGACAGCAGACAAACAAGAACCACCAUGCAGGCUGCGAUGACCACAUUCCUCCUCUUCUCCUUCUCGGCCUGCUGAAGCUCCCACCAUUCCAGGUCGCUGAACUGGCAGCGCUCACCCAUGUAGCCUGACACGCAACUGCAACAGGAUCCGUCGGUCGGAACCAUCCAGUGCAGACGUCUCCACCCUCGACUCGUCGCACCAGAAAAGACGGUCCUCCGUGAAGUCGACGGUCAGACCGCCGGGAGAUACGAGUCGGCCUGCGGGGGGGUGGACAUGAUCAAUGCAACACCUGUAUGAGGACACGCGCAGCCGACGCAGCAGCCAGUCGGUAUGACCCGAGUCAAGCUUCUCAUGCCUAAGAACAACGGCUGAUCAAAAGAUCCCGCACCCCCUCCCAGCCCCCGCCUCCUGCCAAAACAGGCAUAGGGACGAGACCAUCUCAGGUGGCUCGGUGACAGUGACAAACUAUCAAGAGGAGAACAGACGACUCGUUCAUCUGGCAGCCAGGAAGCUGGCAAAGCUUGUCGUUGGAAGGACAACCGGAGAAGCCCGCCGGAGGGAGGAGGAAGAGGAGGAGGAAGAAGAGAUGGUUUCCUUGGCAACUGCUAAUUUAUAUCCACCAACAAACUGAUAAAGCGCUAUUUGCUCAUCAAUUAUUUGUGCAGCAGCUGUGAAGUCUCUCUGUAAGUUUUCUAAAGGCUUUUUUUCACCCAUUUUAAUCCGACAAGAAUCUGCACUCAAGAAGCUUUAGAGCGGCUAAUUAGGUGCGUAAUCUAAAUCCGGGCUGCUAAGGACUAAAAAUCCACAUGGUGACACUUUCAAACAGACAUAGUGGAAGCUUUUUGGGCUGUUUAAGACGUUUAUCUGCUGUAAUUGUCUUUUUUUUUUAUUGAGAAAGUAGGGUGCAUACUAAACCUUUAAGCAACCUGCCCGCCAUAUUUGGAUAAGGAGGAGCCCUCCUCCCGUUGUUACCUCGUGUGAUCAAUGCUCCACGGAGAGAACAAAUGUCACAUUUUCCGACCGUCUGGCAAGCUGUCUGGCACAGACGGGGAUUCCAUUUAAAGGUUAGCAUGUGUCACUCUCGGAAUGACAAUGAUCCUGAUGAGAAGGAAGCGGGGCGGAGAAGUUGAGACGUCAUCGAGUCAGGAAAGGCUUUGAAUUGGGGUCGCAAAGUGUAUUAUGUGGGAGUCGCACGCAAAUAAAGUCGCUAUGUGGGCAGGGAAGUGUAAGUGGAUGCACUCGGAUGCGCCUGGCUGAGACGUUGUGUGUGUGUGUGUGUGCUAUACUACGGAAAGUAAACUUGGGUAUACUUUGAGUAGUCGGUGUG